Molecule: long non-coding RNA, 559 nt
Organism: Myripristis murdjan (pinecone soldierfish)
Lineage: Eukaryota; Metazoa; Chordata; Actinopteri; Holocentriformes; Holocentridae
Exons: 3
Source: RefSeq, a predicted model, not a curated record
UCUUGAAGCGGUCGACUGCCCAAACGCACAGAGUGGGACCACAGCAUUGUAGAUGGAAAAUGCCUCAACAUUGUGCAGCCUACGAUUGUAAAAACCGACGUACUGCACAAUCCAGACAACAGGGAAUUACCUUUCACAGGUUUCCCAAAGAGCAGAACCAGAGGAAGAAAUGGGAGGUCGCCCUCAGAAGAAAAGAUUUUAGAGCCACGGAUGAGUCUGUGCUCUGUUGCUAACACUUCAAGCCAGAGGAUUUCGACAGGACUGUCGGGCUUAGAUCUGAUGUCAUACCAUCCGUUUUCAACUUCCCAGCUCAUCUCCAAACAGCAGGACCACACCUUUGCACUGCCCAGCUGUCCAGUUGCUCUAAAGAAGAGACUGAUUCAGGCUACGGACAAUGUGAUCACACUGGAGCAGGAGAAGAGUAAUGCAAGGAAGCGUGAACUGAGGGCAAAGAGUCAUAUGAAGGAUGUCCUCCAAGAGCUGAGGGAGAAAAACUUGAUUAAUGAAGAACUGUAUGUUUGUUUGUUUUGUACAAAAAUGUUCAUAAAGGCUGAAGUGU